This is a long non-coding RNA of Chelonoidis abingdonii (Abingdon island giant tortoise), 369 nucleotides long. RefSeq lists it as uncharacterized. NCBI's taxonomy places the organism in Eukaryota, Metazoa, Chordata, Testudines, Testudinidae. The record is from RefSeq and is a predicted model, not a curated record.
UGGUAUGAAAAGUUUUACAUGAAUUUAGCUGUUAUUCAUCCUCUAAGAGGUGAAUUCAUGACAGUUUGGAGCUGACUGAUUACAGAUGUCUGACAUCUCUUUAUCUAUUGUUUUAGGUGGCUGCGAUAAGCUCAGCUCUGACAGGAGAUACCAAAGAAACUGAAUUCAGAACUUGGCAACCUAACUGGAUAAUAAAACUGUAGUCCCAAUCCUACAAACCUUCUAAAUGUGGAACUUUCACUGAUGUCUAUGGAAGUUCUGCGUGUGGAGAGCUUACAGAAUCAGGCCAUAUGUUAACAGGAUCAGGAAUGUCAAGAUUUGAUGGAGGACCUUAGAUGUUGAUUGGAAGAUCUUACAUGCUAACAGGAC